Molecule: ribosomal RNA, 253 nt
Filed under: uncultured bacterium
Lineage: Bacteria
Description: partial 16S ribosomal RNA
Rfam family: Bacterial small subunit ribosomal RNA
Source: RNAcentral
AACGUAGGAGGCAAGCGUUAUCCGGAGUUACUGGGCGUAAAGCGCGUGUAGGUGGGUUGGUAAGUUACUUAUAAAAGCCCCCGGCUAAACUGGGGGAGGUUGAGUGAUACUGCCAGUCUUGAAUAGAGGAGAGGUUGACGGAAUUCCGCGUGCAGUGGUGAAAUGCGUAGAGAUGCGGAAGAACACCAGUGGCGAAGGCGGUCAACUGGCCUCAUAUUGACACUCAGACGCGAAGGCAUGGGUAGCGAACGGG